This 343-nucleotide ribosomal RNA is filed under the name uncultured bacterium. RNAcentral describes it as "bacterial SSU rRNA". It matches the Rfam family "Bacterial small subunit ribosomal RNA", at positions 30 to 355 of the family's 1533-position model. The record is from RNAcentral.
AGCGAACGCUGGCGGCAGGCCUAACACAUGCAAGUCGAGCGGCAGCGGGUUCCCGCGAGGGGAUGCCGGCGAGCGGCGGACGGGUGAGGAACACAUCGGAAUCUGCCUGGUUGUGGGGGAUAACGUAGGGAAACUUACGCUAAUACCGCAUGCGACCCUGAGUCGACGGACUGGGGGUGAAAGUGAGGGACCUUCGGGCCUCACGCGACCAGAUGAGCCGAUGUCGGAUUAGCUAGUUGGCGGGGUAACGGCCCGCCAAGGCGACGAUCCGUAGCUGGUCUGAGAGGAUGAUCAGCCACACUGGGACUGAGACACGGCCCAGACUCCUACGGGAGGCAGCAGU